RNAcentral lists this ribosomal RNA (460 nucleotides) under uncultured bacterium. RNAcentral describes it as "partial 16S ribosomal RNA". It matches the Rfam family "Bacterial small subunit ribosomal RNA", at positions 338 to 795 of the family's 1533-position model. The record is from RNAcentral.
CCUACGGGAGGCAGCAGUGAGGAAUAUUGGUCAAUGGACGCGAGUCUGAACCAGCCAAGUAGCGUGAAGGAUGACUGCCCUAUGGGUUGUAAACUUCUUUUAUAUGGGAAUAAAAUGCUCCACGUGUGGCAUUUUGUAUGUACCAUAUGAAUAAGGAUCGGCUAACUCCGUGCCAGCAGCCGCGGUAAUACGGAGGAUCCGAGCGUUAUCCGGAUUUAUUGGGGUUAAAGGGAGCGUAGGUGGAUUGUUAAGUCAGUUGUGAAAGUUUGCGGCUCAACCGUAACAUUGCAGUUGAAACUGGCAGUCUUGAGUACAGUAGAGGUGGGCGGAAUUCGUGGUGUAGCGGUGAAAUGCUUAGAUAGCACGAAGAACUCCGAUUGCGAAGGCAGCUCACUGGACUGCAACUGACACUGAGGCUCGAAAGUGUGGGUAUCAAACAGGAUUAGAGACCCUGGUAGUC